This is a long non-coding RNA of Panicum virgatum (switchgrass), 1275 nucleotides long. RefSeq lists it as uncharacterized. Lineage: Eukaryota; Viridiplantae; Streptophyta; Magnoliopsida; Poales; Poaceae. The transcript has 3 exons. The record is from RefSeq and is a predicted model, not a curated record.
GUAUGAACCAGCCAAUUCAACUUGAACAUGCAUGUACAACGGCGAGCCGAUGCCGUCGACUUGUCUCGAACCAAACAAAAUACGUCUUCCGUCAGCUGCUUCAACGAAGAGAGAGAGGCGUCGUCGCCUCCUUCGUCGACUGCGGGGGCGCGUGCUCCGAUGGAAUCGACAGCUCCGAGCGACCGCUGCAGGAGCUGAGGCGAGUCGUCGCCGGCCGCAAGGAUCGGAUGCGCGGGCGGGAGCGUGCGCUGCGCCUUCGCUCGAGCUCCCGCUGCCGCUUCCUCCGUCGCGUGCCCGAGUGUGUCGCCUCCGCGCCGGAUCUAGCCUCUCCGCGGUUGGAUCUGCGAGCAAACGGCGUCCUUCCUUCCCGACCACCACGCCCGUCCUCCCGCCGUCACCACCGAGUAGGCCGCGAACCGACGCGACGCCGGUCCUCCCCGCCGGCCAUCCUGUCUCCGACCGCCCUCCGAAGUCCGAAGCCAACGCUCGUCCUCAGGAGCAGGAGGCUGCCGGUGGCCGGUGCUGCGCGCUGCAAUUCGUGGCCAAGCGCCUGCGCUAUACUAGGUACAACAGCCACCUGUGAUCGAAGCCGACGCCAGGUUCGUGGCCAGGCUGCCAUCAACAACACCAAAGGGGGCUGAAGCCGACGGCCACACAUCUUGCAAGAGAAGUAGUCUAUUUUGACUACAUUCAGAUAAAGAAAAGGAAGGCUGCACUGUAUGUUGCUUUUCAUUUUGGAGAUGGUAGGUUAUCUGAAAUCCCAAGCUGCAUAUCUUAUUUGGGAAUAUUAACAUUGAACUAGUGCUCUGAAUUUUAGUGUGUCUGGACUCUUAAUUUCAGUAUAUGUGUGCUCUAUACUAGUGCUCUGAAUUUCAAUGUGUUUGGACUCUGAACUAGUGCCUCUGUAAUGUAUGUUCCUUUCCUGAAAAUUGAGGUUAGUUUCCUGAACCAGCUUUUGACUCACUGCAUUUCUGAAAAUAAUUUGGUCACUUGUCAGUUGUAUAUAACCUGAGUUGCAAGUGAUGCUUACUUGUAUAUUCCAAUUCUGCCUAGUCACAAUACCUGACUAGCAAGUGUGUCAAAUUUUUUUUGCUUGCAGGGCUGAUGUCAAAGAAGAAAUUUUGUGCUGAUAAUUGAGGUUAGUAUUCUGCUGUUCCCUCUGAAUUGAGCUGAUCUUCCAAUUGCAGUCAAGAGAUGAAUCAAGGAACAUGAUCUGCCCAUGCUACUUAUGAAUUUAGAUUGAUUACGGUUCAUUUCUUUGUGAUGCAAAUGUGU